GAUGAACGCUGGCGGCGUGCCUAAUACAUGCAAGUCGAGCGAACAGACGAGGAGCUUGCUCCUCUGACGUUAGCGGCUGACGGGUGAGUAACACGUGGAUCACCUACUUAUAAGACUGGGAUAACUUCGGGAAACCGGAGCUACUACCGGCUAAUAUAUUGUACCGCAUGGUUCAAUAGUUAAAGACGGUUUUGCUGUCACUUUUAGAUGGAUUCGCGCCGCAUUAGCUAGUUGGUAAGGUAACGGCUUACCAAGGCAACGGUGCGUAGCCGACCUGAGAGGGUGAUCGGCCACACUGGAACUGAGACACGGUCCAGACUCCUACGGGAGGCAGCAGUAGGGAAUCUUCCGCAAAGGGCGAAAGCCUGACGGAGCAACGCCGCGUGAGUGAUGAAGGUCUUCGGAUCGUAAAACUCUGUUAUUAGGAAAGAACAAAUGUGUAAGUAACUACGCACGUCUUGACGGUACCUAAACAGAAAGCCACGGCUAACUACGUG
This 497-nucleotide ribosomal RNA is filed under the name uncultured bacterium. RNAcentral's name for it is "partial 16S ribosomal RNA". It matches the Rfam family "Bacterial small subunit ribosomal RNA", at positions 28 to 507 of the family's 1533-position model. The record is from RNAcentral.